GCCAGACUCCUCGGGAGGCAGCAGUGAGGAAUAUUGGUCAAUGGCCGCAGGGCUGAACCAGCCAAGUCGCGUGAGGGAAGACGGUCCUAUGGAUUGUAAACCUCUUUUGUCGGGGAGCAAAAGACGCCACGCGUGGCGUUCCGAGAGUACCCGAAGAAAAAGCAUCGGCUAACUCCGUGCCAGCAGCCGCGGUAAUACGGGGGAUGCAAGCGUUGUCCGGAAUCAUUGGGCGUAAAGAGUUCGUAGGUGGCACGUUAAGUCUGGUGUUAAAUGCAGAGGCUCAACCUCUGUUCGGCACUGGAUACUGGCGAGCUUGAAUGCGGUAGAGGUAAAGGGAAUUCCUGGUGUAGCGGUGAAAUGCGUAGAUAUCAGGAGGAACAUCGGUGGCGUAAGCGCUUUACUGGGCCGUAAUUGACACUGAGGAACGAAAGCCAGGGUAGCAAAUGGGAUUAGAUACCCCCGUAUG
This 466-nucleotide ribosomal RNA is filed under the name uncultured bacterium. RNAcentral describes it as "bacterial SSU rRNA". It matches the Rfam family "Bacterial small subunit ribosomal RNA", at positions 330 to 793 of the family's 1533-position model. The record is from RNAcentral.